RNAcentral lists this long non-coding RNA (958 nucleotides) under Monodelphis domestica (gray short-tailed opossum). Its description in RNAcentral is "lncRNA (ENSMODG00000042512.1)". Lineage: Eukaryota; Metazoa; Chordata; Mammalia; Didelphimorphia; Didelphidae. The record is from RNAcentral.
ACUGUAUUUACAUCAUUCAUUCUCUAUAAUUUUUUUAAAUUUUCUUUAAACCCUAACCUUCAGUUUGAGGCCAGAUUUGAAACCAGAACCUCCUAUCUCUGGGCCUGGCUCUCAAUCCACUGAGCCCCUUAGCUGCCCCCUAUACAUUUUCAUUAAAAUUAUCAUAUAUUCAAUACUAACAUAUUCCUAAAUCCACCGAAUGGAAACUGAAUAGGGUAGUUUCUAUGAUGGAUAAAAUUGUCAAAUCACAUGGCUUAUGAGGAGACAUUUUGGAUUUUUACACAUUGCUUGCAAAAACUUAAAUGUUUAAUUCUUUAUAUUUGUCUAAGAAAAUUUAAAUUGAUUUGUCUAAACUUUUAUAAUCAGUCAAGGCUCAUAACACAAUAGAUUUUAAUUCUCAGGUUCGGGAAGAUGACAAACAGACAUGAAAUGAUAGAUCUAUUCUCACUGAAGAUAAUAGUGGAACUCAGCCAACUCCUUUAUCUGCCUCUGACAAGAACUCAUUUGCCAUUCUUCCAUUUAGAUGCAAUUGCUUCUGGUUUCAUUUAUGGAUUCAAAAUAAACUCCUGUAGGUAUAUAUCAGUUUUCCACUCUUUGAUAGAGUAAAACACCAAAAACCAUGACAGAUGAUAAAGAAAAAAGGAAAGAGAGUCUCUCCAAUUUCUCUAAUCAAUUUGCCUGCAAGACCAUCUGUCUCAGAUUCUCACUUCCAAAACUACUAGGAGUUCAAAUUUUUUAAAACAGGUGGCAAAGGUAAGGGAGGACUUCAUUUUAUGUUGCAGCAGACGUGAUGUAGUGUUGCUUUUUAAAAAAUUAACUUUAUAGAUUUCCAGUGAUGGAGCCAAGAUGGAGGAAUAACUAAAAUACUAGUGCCAUUUCACCACAAAAAUCCUCUUCGACAAAGAGUGAAAUAUUGUCACAAAAUGAAUACAGGAAUAAAAGAACCAACAAUGAGACA